UGGGAUUAAAGGUGUGCACCAAAACCUCC
This 29-nucleotide non-coding RNA is filed under the name Rattus norvegicus (Norway rat). The record is from RNAcentral. Lineage: Eukaryota; Metazoa; Chordata; Mammalia; Rodentia; Muridae.